This 234-nucleotide unclassified non-coding RNA is filed under the name plant metagenome. RNAcentral describes it as "partial contains small subunit ribosomal RNA, internal transcribed spacer 1, and 5.8S ribosomal RNA". The record is from RNAcentral.
UUUCCGUAGGUGAACCUGCGGAAGGAUCAUUACCGAGUGAGGGCCCUCUGGGUCCAACCUCCCACCCGUGUUUAUUUACCUUGUUGCUUCGGCGAGCCCGCCUUUUGGCUGCCGGGGGACGUCAGUCCCCGGGUCCGUGCUCGCCGGAGACACCUUAGAACUCUGUCUGAAGAUUGUAGUCUGAGAUUAAAUAUAAAUUAUUUAAAACUUUCAACAACGGAUCUCUUGGUUCCG